Long non-coding RNA from Oncorhynchus tshawytscha (Chinook salmon), 2336 nucleotides. Lineage: Eukaryota; Metazoa; Chordata; Actinopteri; Salmoniformes; Salmonidae. The record is from Ensembl.
GUUCCAGUUCGACCUUACUGUGAGCAAUGAUUUGUUCCAGUUUGACCUUACUGUGAGCAUGAUUUGUUCCAGUUUGACCUUACUGUGAGCAUGAUUUGUUCCAGUUUGACCUUACUGUGAGCAUGAUUUGUUCCAGUUUGACCUUACUGUGAGCACAUAAAGGAAUGCAAAGGUGACAUUCACACAAAAAGGACGCAGUGUCAGCAGCAAAUGUGUUGAGCAAAUGUUGUAUAUUUUGUUUGGCAGACCUUUGUGUCUGCUAUGAUAAACCAACCACUCUACAGCCCUUGGAAAUAUGGAGAUAAAUGUCACAUUUAACAAUGCUGUACCUGAUACAUUUGGGGGAUUUGGGAAAUUAAUGAUUAACUUAUGUGGAUAAGAAACAGUUUGAAUAGGCUGAACGAUCAGUAAAUGAUGUGAAACGGUUGAAAGACAGCUGUAUUUGUAAGGAGCUCAGUUCAUUUGUACCUCGUAGCGGUCUAUCUAUCCACGAUGAAGCUCAUCCUGACAAUCUCCUGCGCCUUCACACUGUUCUACACAGGUGACUUACUGAAUCCAUGUAGAUUGGUUCUUACAUACACCUUAUUUUGACAUACAGCCGUUAUGUUUAAUUUGAUGUAUAAUAACACGAUGACGAUCGCAAUUGAUGAGUUUAGUUAAUUGUUUGUUUAACGAUGGACCACUAUUGAUAUAUACAUGUUUCUUUUUUUCAUAAUCUUGGAUGCUUUGGUUUCUAGCUGACAUGCUCAAUUGCUACACCUGUGAGCCUGAGGAUGAAAAAUGUCGGACAACAGUAUUAAAGAACUGUGUGAAAGCAGUAUGUUCCACCUUAACAAGCAUAGAAUAUCCUUCAGAUUCCAUCAGAGUAUCUAAGGGUUGUACGUAUGUAGCCAAAAACUGUUAUUUCAUGGAUAAAGUAACAGAACUGUCAAUGAACAACGGAUACUCACAAGCCUCCCAAUCCUCGUUUUGCUGCAACACGACAGGCUGCAACAUAGACACCCUCCCUGCCCUCAGUGACAAGCCCAAUAAACUACAAUGUCACACCUGGGUGAAUGGUACUUAUGAAGUUUUGCAAUGCAUUGGAAUUGAAGACCACUGCUUCAAAUAUAAACAGCUCACUCCUGAUGGGGGCAAAGUCACCAUUUAUGGAGGCUGUGCCUCCAGUGACUCAUGCCUCUGGUCUGAGAUGCCCAACCAGACGAACCUCAACUGCUGCAAGGGGAGUCUGUGUAACAAAGCCAUGGGGAUGAGUCUGAGUUCUCUCCCUCUUCUGCUGGGUCUCCUCCUCAUCUCACUGGUCUAGUUAGUGGGAGGAUUCAUGGUAAUCCCAGCCGUUGGUGUGAUAUCCACAAUAAAUCUAUGUGUCAAUAUAUUGGUACAUCUAAGAAAUUUGAAACAUAAGUAAUAUUAUUGUGUUUGGAUGUUCAUUUAUUCGCAAAAGAAAUGGAAAUUGUAGAAUUAUUUUAAAAUCUGUAGUCACUCAUGUCACUCUUUACUCUUUACUUGUACAUUACGUUACUGUAUAUUAUAAACUGGGUGGUACGAGUCCUGAAUGCUGAUUGGCUGACAGCCGUGGUAUGUCAGACUGUAUACCACGUGUAUGACAAAACAUGUAUUUUUACUGCUCUAAUUACUUUGGUAACCCGAUUAUAUUAUGCCUUUAUAUUAUUAAGCAAUAAGGCCCAAGGGGUUUGUGGUAUAUGACCAAUAUACCACGGAUAAGGCCUGUAACCAGGCACUCUGUGUUGCAUCGUGCUUAAGAACAGCCAUUAGCCAAUUUAUAUUGGCCAUAUACUACACCCCCGUGGGCCUUAUUGCUUAAGUAUAUAAUGGCAUAAUAUCACCACAAAACUAUGUUACAUACGGUACAGUGCAAAGAUCAAGGUUGCUCCCUCUCUCUCAUCAACUUCAAUUGUACUCUCUUCCUAAACAAAGGUCUUACACACAUCUGAAAGCAGGAAAGGAAAAGGAAAUAGAGAGAAGGACCACCAAACAUCUGAUGCUAAACCAAAGAAUGUUAACGAGGCCAUAAAUAUAUUUUUAUACCUUUUUACUAUGUUUGAUAUGAUGCCAUUAUCGGGUGAAUGUAGCAGGGUAAAGUCAGGUCUGAUGGGGCAGAGUAAACAGAUUUAGGAGAUGGGUUUAUUCUCAGGUAUAGGAUCAUACCCAUAUAUUUUCACUUCUCUUAGUUUUUUUCUGUACUGCUUUUUAGUUGAGGCUUGUAGCUAGCUGAGGGUUGUAACAUGGCAGUGUGUACCCAUUUAUAUCAACAGUUAUUAUCAAUCAGUUAUUAUAUGCUUAAUGUGCUUUGGGACUAAUAAAAUAAAAGUAAA